Small nuclear RNA from Heterocephalus glaber (naked mole-rat), 118 nucleotides. Its record names the gene U5. It matches the Rfam family "U5 spliceosomal RNA". From Rfam's summary of the family: U5 RNA is a component of both types of known spliceosome. The precise function of this molecule is unknown, though it is known that the 5' loop is required for splice site selection and p220 binding, and that both the 3' stem-loop and the Sm site are important for Sm protein binding and cap methylation. The record is from Ensembl. Lineage: Eukaryota; Metazoa; Chordata; Mammalia; Rodentia; Bathyergidae.
AUACUCCUGUUUCUCUUCAGAUCGUAUAAAUCUUUCGCCUUUUACUAAAGAUUUCCGUGGAGAGAAACAAUUGUGAGUUUUUAUCUCAAUUUUUUGAGGCCUUGCUUUAGCAAGGGCU